UUAUGAAUUUUACCUUCUGCACAAGCUAAUGGUCAAAACAGCCCUGCAGAUUAUGGAAGCAAGCAACGGCAGUACCAUGCCUGCACAUGCUUUUGGUGAUUAUCAAUCACAUAUCGACUCCUCACUGAAUAAUAACGAUGGUUUCAGUACACCCAAAAGAAAAACAAGCACACCCAUAUGUUGUUCAACGUUCGUACCCGAGUGUGAUGAUGAACUGAAGCCAGUGGUCGGGAUGACAUUUGAUGACGUUGAAUCCGUGGAAACUUUUUACAAGUCAUAUGCACAUCAUGCUGGUUUCGGAAUCCGUAAUGGGCAGCGGAGGCUAGUAGAUGAUGUAGUUAUUUGGAAGCGCUUUUUAUGCGCAAGGCAAGGAUAUAAGUCAGAAAAAGGUACAAAUACUACUCAUCCCUUGAAUACUGGAAAGAGGACUGUCGAUCCCUCAAAAAAAAAGUAAGAAAAAACGUAAGAUGAAAGAAUCUAGAUGUGGAUGUGAUGCUCGCAUUUUUGUGAAGAAGACCAGUGAUAACAAGUACAAGAUAGCUUCAUUUGUUGAGCACCACAAUCAUGGACCGGUGACACCUAGCAAGCAUCACCUAAUCAGAUCCAACCGUCGACUCAAUGAGAAGGCCAAAACCACACUUUACUCAUGCCACAAAGCAAGCAUAGGCACUUCGCAGGCAUUUAGAUUGCUUCAUGUCAGUGCCGGUGGUUUUGAGAAUGUGGGAUGCACGAAGAGAGAUCUACAAAAUUACUAUUGUGAAUUCAAAAAUAAAAUCAACAACUAUGAUGCUCAAAUGUUUGUGGACCAACUGGGUAGAAUGAAGGAACUCAACCCAGCAUUUUACUUUGACUAUGACGUGGAUGAAGAUGGUAUGAUGCUGCAUGAUUUUUGUGCAAAUGCCACUGCAAGGAAAAACUAUAGUCAUUUUGGUGAUGUGCUUUCUUUUGAUUCAACAUACACCACUAACCACUACAAUAUGAUUUUUGCACCUUC
This is a long non-coding RNA of Brachypodium distachyon (stiff brome), 994 nucleotides long. RefSeq lists it as uncharacterized. The record is from RefSeq and is a predicted model, not a curated record. NCBI's taxonomy places the organism in Eukaryota, Viridiplantae, Streptophyta, Magnoliopsida, Poales, Poaceae. The transcript is spliced from 2 exons.